This 402-nucleotide ribosomal RNA is filed under the name Merlangius merlangus (whiting). Its description in RNAcentral is "partial large subunit ribosomal RNA". It matches the Rfam family "Bacterial large subunit ribosomal RNA", at positions 1972 to 2527 of the family's 2925-position model. The record is from RNAcentral. Lineage: Eukaryota; Metazoa; Chordata; Actinopteri; Gadiformes; Gadidae.
UCUUUUAAAUGAAGACCUGUAUGAAUGGCAUCACGAGGGCUUAGCUGUCUCCCAUCUCCAGUCAAUGAAAUUGACCUCCCCGUGCAGAGGCGGGGAUAAUUACAUAAGACGAGAAGACCCUAUGGAGCUUUAGACCUAAGGUAAGUCACGUUUAACAUGCUGUGAUAACAGAAAAAACUUAGUGAUAUUUACUGAAGUGUCUUUGGUUGGGGCGACCGCGGGGUAAAACACAACCCCCAUGUGGACCGGGGAUAUAAUCCCUAAUACUCAGAGCCUCUACUCCAAGUAACAGAAAUUCUGACUUUUCUGAUCCGGUAUAACCGAUCAACGAACCGAGUUACCCUAGGGAUAACAGCGCAAUCCCCUCUCAGAGCCCAUAUCGACGAGGGGGUUUACGACCUC